This 238-nucleotide long non-coding RNA is filed under the name Medicago truncatula (barrel medic). RNAcentral describes it as "long non-coding RNA (MTRU_LNC004785)". Lineage: Eukaryota; Viridiplantae; Streptophyta; Magnoliopsida; Fabales; Fabaceae. The record is from RNAcentral.
AUGUCCCUAACCUUGGAAAAUCUCACAAAAUCGUACAUGUUACCAUUAACAUUACGCUUCUUAGCAACAUACAUAUUUUCCAAAUUUCCACAUACUUCGAAAGCUUUUCUUAAAAUGAAAAUGAGGAAUUUGUUCCGGAAAGUUCGUGAAAUAGAAAGUGACAAACCUUUUGUAAGGAGAACUCGGAAAAGCACCAGAACCAUCAUCCCUUGCCGCACGCAAUCGUUAUGGAUAAGCU